CUGUUUACCCAGCUCCAAGCUGUUAGGCUUGGUCUUCCAGGUUUUGACAAAGCCCAAACACUUCAGGCCCCUGGGUGGAUUCAUUGUCUCACCUCUGGGCUUUUGCUUUACACAGGUCUCAAACAUGUCUGACAAAAGUGAAUUAAAGGCAGAGUUGGAGCAUAAGAAGCAGCAGUUAGCCCAAAUCAGAGAGGAAAAGAAGAGGAAAGAAGAAGGAAGAAAGAAAAAGGAAACUGAUCAGAAGAAAGAAGCCGUUGCUUCUGUGCAAGAAGAAUCAGAUAUUGAAAAAAGGAGAAGAGAAGCUGAAGCAUUGCUUCAAAGCAUGGGUCUAACUCCAGAAUCCCCCAUUGUCCUUCCUCCUAUGUCUCCAUCCUCCCAAUCUGUGAGCACACCAAGCGAAACUGGAAGCCAAGACUCUGGAGAUGGUGCAGUGUGAUCUAGACAAGGACCUAUUAAACUUGGAAUAGCUAAAAUUAUGCAAGUUGACUUUCCUUCUCAUGUAAUCGUCACAUACACAAAGGAAACUCAGACUCCAGUUAUGGCUCAACCCAAAGAAGAUGAAGAAGAAGAAGAUGAUGUAGUCACUGCUAAACCACCUAUUGAACCUGAGGAAGAGAAAACUUUAAAGAAAGAUGAAGAAAGUGAUAGUAAAGCCCCCCUCAUGAGCUGACUAAAGAAAAAAAGUAGCAAAUCUUGCACUCUGAGGAAUUUUUAUGUUUCUUUGACCAUUCUACAAGAAUUGUAGAAAGAGCUCUUUCUGAGCAAAUCAACAUCUUCUUUGGCUACAGUGGAAGAGAUUUGGAAGACAAAGAAGGAGAAAAUCAGGCAGGUGCUAAACUGUCAUUAAAUUGACAAUUUUUUGACCAAUGUUGGUCAAAGCAUCGGGUUGUUAGUUGUUUGGAUUGGUCAUCUCAGUACCCAGAGUUAUUUUUGUGGCUUUCUACAAUAACAACGAAGAUGCUUCUCAUGAGCCUGAUGGUGUGGCCCUUGUUUGGAAUAUGAAAUACAAAAACACUACUCCAGAGUAUGUGUUUCACUGCCAGUCAGCCAUUAUGUCUGCUACAUUUGCAAAAUUUCAUCCAAAUCUGGUUGUUGGUGGCACAUAUUCAGGCCAAAUUGUGCUGUGGGAUAAUCAUAGCAAUAAAAGAACUCCAGUGCAAAGAACUCCACUGUCGGCUGAGGCACAGACACACCCUGUAUAUUGCGUAAAUGUUGUUGGAACACAGAAUGUUCACAAUCUGAUUAGUAUCUCUACUGAUGGAAAAAUUUGUUCAUGGAGUCUGGACAUGAUUUCCCAUCCACAGGAUAGCAUGGAAUUGGUUCCUAAACAGUCAAAGGCAGUUGCUGUGACAUCUAUGUCCUUCCUGGUUGGAGAUGUCAACAACUUUGUUGUUGGGAGUGAAGAAGGUUCUGUGUACACAGCAUGCCACCAUGGAAGCAAAGCUGGAAUCAAUGAGAUGUUCAAGGGACAUCAAGGACCAAUUACUUGCAUUCAUUGUCAUGCAGCUGUUGGAGCAGUGGACUUUUCACAUCUUUUUAUCACUUCAUCAUUUGACUGGACAGUAAAACUUUGGACAACUAAGAAUAACAAGCCUUUGUACUCAUUUGAAGAUAAUUCAGACUAUGUUUAUGAUGUUAUGUGGUCACCCACCCACCCAGCCAUGUUUGCCUAUGUGGAUGGCAUGGAUAGGCUGGAUUUGUGGAAUCUCAAUAAUGACACAGAGGUGCCAGCUGCCAGCAUUUCUGUGGAGGGUAAUCCUGCUCUUAAUCAUGUAAGAUGGACCCAUUCUGGAAGAGAGAUUGCCAUGGGUGAUUCUGAAGGACAGAUUGUUAUAUAUGAUGUGGGAGAGCAGAUUGCUGUCCCCCAAAAUGAUGAAUGGGCAUGGUUUGGCUGAACACUUGCAGAAAUUAAUGCAAACUGAGCGGAUGCAGAGGAGGAAGCAGCUACCGGAAUACCUGCUUAGCUCCUGGAAAGGGAAUAUGUAGCCUUAGUGGAUUUGGGGAAGACUCUAAGUAGAUCCUAGAACUAUUCACAUGCUUCUGUCUAAAUGAUAAUUAAAAGGAAAUUUCAUGGAUUAAACUGUGGA
This is an RNA transcript of Hippopotamus amphibius kiboko, 2087 nucleotides long. It is a transcript of the gene named cytoplasmic dynein 1 intermediate chain 2-like, with no coding region annotated. Lineage: Eukaryota; Metazoa; Chordata; Mammalia; Artiodactyla; Hippopotamidae. The transcript has a single exon. The record is from RefSeq and is a predicted model, not a curated record.